AUCAAAUAACAACAUACAGGUGUCCCGAUAUUUAUCGGGACUCCAAGGGAAUCCCAACUCCAAUUUAAAAGCAACCGCAGAUUACACGGAUUUCUCAGAUUUUUUCUGUGUAAUCUGUGAAAAUCUGUGGUUUCACGGUAUUUAACUGGAGAAAAGGGAACGGUACCGCCGCUGUAAUCGGUGACGAACGUUGCAAGACCACUCUCAGCCUUUUGGUGAGAGGAAGGCGCAACAAGUAGGAUGAUCCGCCAGUCAGAAGACCUGCCUGUAAUGUUUUGCCGAA
This 283-nucleotide non-coding RNA is filed under the name Planctomycetota bacterium. The record is from RNAcentral. Lineage: Bacteria; Pseudomonadati; Planctomycetota.